AGGGCACCACCAGGAGUGGAGCCUGCGGCUUAAUUUGACUCAACACGGGAAAUCUCACCAGGCCCGGACACCGGAAGGAUUGACAGAUUGAGAGCUCUUUCUUGAUUCGGUGGGUGGUGGUGCAUGGCCGUUCUUAGUUGGUGGAGCGAUUUGUCUGGUUAAUUCCGAUAACGAACGAGACUCUGGCCUACUAACUAGACGUUGGAUCCCUUUGUGGGUCCAUCGCAGCUUCUUAGAGGGACGGGCGGCGUUUAGCCGCACGAGAUUGAGCAAUAACAGGUCUGUGAUGCCCUUAGAUGUUCUGGGCUGCACGCGCGCUACACUGAAGGAAUCAGCGUGUGUUCCCUAUCCGAAAGGAUUGGGAAACCCGUUGAACCUCCUUCGUGAUGGGGAUUGGGGAUUGCAAUUAUUCCCCAUGAACGAGGAAUUCCCAGUAGGCGCGAGCCAUAAGCUUGCGUCGAUUACGUCCCUGCCCUUUGUACACACCGCCCGUCGCUACUACCGAUCGAGUGAUUUAGU
Molecule: ribosomal RNA, 519 nt
Filed under: uncultured eukaryote
Lineage: Eukaryota
Description: SSU rRNA
Rfam family: Eukaryotic small subunit ribosomal RNA
Source: RNAcentral